AGUAAUGCUUGGGAAUCUAGCUUAUGGAGGGGGAUAACUACGGGAAACUGUAGCUAAUACCGCGUAGAAUCGGGAGAUGAAAGUGUGGGACCUUCGGGCCACAUGCCAUAGGAUGAGCCCAAGUGGGAUUAGGUAGUUGGUGAGAUAAAGGCUCACCAAGCCGACGAUCUCUAGCUGGUCUGAGAGGAUGACCAGCCACACUGGGACUGAGACACGGCCCAG
Molecule: ribosomal RNA, 222 nt
Filed under: uncultured bacterium
Lineage: Bacteria
Description: partial 16S ribosomal RNA
Rfam family: Bacterial small subunit ribosomal RNA
Source: RNAcentral